UACGGAGGAUCCAAGCGUUAUCCGGAAUCAUUGGGUUUAAAGGGUCCGUAGGCGGUUUAGUAAGUCAGUGGUGAAAGCCCAUCGCUCAACGGUGGAACGGCCAUUGAUACUGCUAGACUUGAAUUAUUAGGAAGUAACUAGAAUAUGUAGUGUAGCGGUGAAAUGCUUAGAGAUUACAUGGAAUACCAAUUGCGAAGGCAGGUUACUACUAAUGGAUUGACGCUGAUGGAACGAAAGCGUGGGUAGCGAACAGG
This 254-nucleotide ribosomal RNA is filed under the name uncultured bacterium. Its description in RNAcentral is "partial 16S ribosomal RNA". It matches the Rfam family "Bacterial small subunit ribosomal RNA", at positions 524 to 776 of the family's 1533-position model. The record is from RNAcentral.